Molecule: ribosomal RNA, 786 nt
Filed under: uncultured bacterium
Lineage: Bacteria
Description: bacterial SSU rRNA
Rfam family: Bacterial small subunit ribosomal RNA
Source: RNAcentral
AGAGUUUGAUCAUGGCUCAGGAUGAACGCUAGCGGGAGUAACACAUGCAAGUCGAGGGGCAGCACGGGCUUCGGCCUGGUGGCGACCGGCGCACGGGUGCGUAACGCGUAUGCAACCUGCCUUAUGCAGGGGGAUAGCCCAUGGAAACGUGGAUUAAUACCCCAUAGAAUCAAUGAUUCGCAUGGAUUAUUGAUUAAAACUUCGGUGGCAUAAGAUGGGCAUGCGUCUGAUUAGCUUGUUGGUGAGGUAACGGCUCACCAAGGCGACGAUCAGUAGGGGUUCUGAGAGGAUUAUCCCCCACACUGGUACUGAGACACGGACCAGACUCCUACGGGAGGCAGCAGUGAGGAAUAUUGGUCAAUGGGCGCGAGCCUGAACCAGCCAUCCCGCGUGCAGGAUGACGGCCCUAUGGGUUGUAAACUGCUUUUCUACGCCAAGAAACCUGAUUACGUGUAAUCAGUUGCCGGUAGCGUAGGAAUAAGCAUCGGCUAACUCCGUGCCAGCAGCCGCGGUAAUACGGAGGAUGCAAGCGUUAUCCGGAUUCAUUGGGUUUAAAGGGUGCGCAGGUGGGCUUGUAAGUCAGUGGUGAAAUGCUGCCGCUUAACGGUAGAAUUGCCAUUGAUACUGCGAGUCUUGAGUAUGGUUGAGGUAGGCGGAAUGUGUUGUAGCGGUGAAAUGCAUAGAUAUGACACAGAACGCCGAUUGCGAAGGCAGCUUACUAAGCCAUUACUGACGCUGAGGCACGAAAGCGUGGGGAGCGAACAGGAUUAGAUACCCUAGUAGUCC